AGGACGAACGCUGGCGGCGUGCUUAACACAUGCAAGUCGAGCGGAAAGGCCCUUCGGGGUACUCGAGCGGCGAACGGGUGAGUAACACGUGAGAAACCUGCCCUGGACUUUGGGAUAACCCUCGGAAACGGGGGCUAAUACCGAAUACGACCUUCAACCGCAUGGUUUGUUGGUGGAAAGUUUUUCGGUCUGGGAUGGUCUCGCGGCCUAUCAGCUUGUUGGUGGGGUAAUGGCCUACCAAGGCGACGACGGGUAGCCGGCCUGAGAGGGCGACCGGCCACACUGGGACUGAGACACGGCCCAGACUCCUACGGGAGGCAGCAGUGGGGAAUAUUGCACAAUGGGCGGAAGCCUGAUGCAGCGACGCCGCGUGAGGGAUGACGGCCUUCGGGUUGUAAACCUCUUUCAGCAGGGACGAAGCGAAGUGACGGUACCUGCAGAAGAAGCGCCGGCCAACUACGUGCCAGCAGCCGC
RNAcentral lists this ribosomal RNA (474 nucleotides) under uncultured bacterium. RNAcentral's name for it is "SSU rRNA". It matches the Rfam family "Bacterial small subunit ribosomal RNA", at positions 26 to 518 of the family's 1533-position model. The record is from RNAcentral.